Molecule: non-coding RNA, 98 nt
Organism: Coprinopsis marcescibilis
Lineage: Eukaryota; Fungi; Basidiomycota; Agaricomycetes; Agaricales; Psathyrellaceae
Source: the annotation of a GenBank genome assembly
GCAUUAAUGGGGUAGUGGUAACCUGGGUCGUUGCCAUUCGAGUUGGCCAUUGCGAGCACAAGCUCGACCCGCCGGGGGUUCGAUUCCCUCUUAAUGCA